AGCGAACGCUGGCGGCAGGCCUAACACAUGCAAGUCGAACGAACCUUUCGGGGUUAGUGGCGGACGGGUGAGUAACACGUGGGAACGUGCCUUUAGGUUCGGAAUAACUCAGGGAAACUUGUGCUAAUACCGAAUGUGCCCUUCGGGGGAAAGAUUAAUCGCCUUUAGAGCGGCCCGCGUCUGAUUAGCUAGUUGGUUGAGGUAAUGGCUCACCAAGGCGACGAUCAGUAGCUGGUCUGAGAGGAUGAUCAGCCACAUUGGGACUGAGACACGGCCCAAACUCCUACGGGGGGCAGCAGUGGGGAAUCUUGCGCAAUGGGCGAAAGCCUGACGCAGCCAUGCCGCGUGAAUGAUGAAGGUCUUAGGAUUGUAAAAUUCUUUCACCGGGGACGAUAAUGACGGUACCCGGAGAAGAAGCCCCGGCUAACUUCGUG
RNAcentral lists this ribosomal RNA (434 nucleotides) under uncultured bacterium. RNAcentral's name for it is "partial 16S ribosomal RNA". It matches the Rfam family "Bacterial small subunit ribosomal RNA", at positions 29 to 507 of the family's 1533-position model. The record is from RNAcentral.